RNAcentral lists this ribosomal RNA (253 nucleotides) under uncultured bacterium. Its description in RNAcentral is "partial 16S ribosomal RNA". It matches the Rfam family "Bacterial small subunit ribosomal RNA", at positions 524 to 776 of the family's 1533-position model. The record is from RNAcentral.
UACAGAGGUCUCAACCGUUGUUCGGAUUCAUUGGGCGUAAAGGGUGCGUAGGUGGCGCUGUAAGUCGGGUGUGAAAUCCUGAGGCUUAACCUCGGAACUGCAUUCGAUACUGCGGCGCUUGAGGACUGGAGAGGAGACUGGAAUUCAUGGUGUAGCAGUGAAAUGCGUAGAGAUCAUGAGGAAGACCAGUGGCGAAGGCGGGUCUCUGGACAGUUCCUGACACUGAGGCACGAAGGCCAGGGGAGCAAACGGG